UUCAGCGAUGAAAAAGAGCUUUGCUCGAUAACCCAGCUCGUUGAGGAGGGAGUAACGCCCCAUCAUUCCUUUGAGAUAAUUUUUUUUCUGAUUUA
This 95-nucleotide small nucleolar RNA is filed under the name Suillus luteus UH-Slu-Lm8-n1. Its description in RNAcentral is "A. fumigatus snoRNA Afu_304". It matches the Rfam family "A. fumigatus snoRNA Afu_304". The record is from Rfam by way of RNAcentral. Lineage: Eukaryota; Fungi; Basidiomycota; Agaricomycetes; Boletales; Suillaceae.